RNAcentral lists this transfer-messenger RNA (322 nucleotides) under Enterobacter cloacae. RNAcentral's name for it is "partial transfer-messenger RNA". It matches the Rfam family "transfer-messenger RNA", at positions 13 to 346 of the family's 374-position model. Rfam says of the family: Bacterial tmRNA, also known as 10Sa RNA or SsrA, is named for its dual tRNA and mRNA-like properties. The record is from RNAcentral. Lineage: Bacteria; Pseudomonadati; Pseudomonadota; Gammaproteobacteria; Enterobacterales; Enterobacteriaceae.
GUUUCGACUGGGGGGAACUCCGUCUUAGGUCGCGUGUCGAGGGCUCGGCUACCUCGUAAAUCCAUCGGAAAAAACACAAACGCGAACGAUAACGCGUACGCUCUCGCCGCUUAAUAACCGGUAGAUUGCCGUCUCCCUCGGGCAGUUCUCGCGACCCGUACGGAGGCGUUAAAAAAGACGAGAUAGCGACCCAGAUGACCAUCGCUGGCGAGCGAAAUUAAAGGUGGGAUAGCCCUAAGGUGAGCCUGUCGGUAGGCGCGCCGCGUGGGCGAAGUAAACUACCGACUACACACGUAGUGGCCGCUGCGUAGCACUUUCGGAC